RNAcentral lists this transfer RNA (76 nucleotides) under Candidatus Bathyarchaeota archaeon. RNAcentral's name for it is "tRNA-Cys". It matches the Rfam family "tRNA". Rfam says of the family: Transfer RNA (tRNA) molecules are approximately 80 nucleotides in length. Their secondary structure includes four short double-helical elements and three loops (D, anti-codon, and T loops). Further hydrogen bonds mediate the characteristic L-shaped molecular structure. tRNAs have two regions of fundamental functional importance: the anti-codon, which is responsible for specific mRNA codon recognition, and the 3' end, to which the tRNAs corresponding amino acid is attached (by aminoacyl-tRNA synthetases). tRNAs cope with the degeneracy of the genetic code in two manners: having more than one tRNA (with a specific anti-codon) for a particular amino acid; and 'wobble' base-pairing, i.e. permitting non-standard base-pairing at the 3rd anti-codon position. The record is from RNAcentral. Lineage: Archaea; Thermoproteati; Candidatus Bathyarchaeota.
GCCGGGGUGGCCGAGUGGCUUUAGGCGGCGGGCUGCAGACCUGCUUAUGUGGGUUCAAUUCCCACCCCUGGCUCCA